Apis mellifera (honey bee) is the source of this 854-nucleotide long non-coding RNA. RefSeq lists it as uncharacterized. The transcript has 4 exons. NCBI's taxonomy places the organism in Eukaryota, Metazoa, Arthropoda, Insecta, Hymenoptera, Apidae. The record is from RefSeq and is a predicted model, not a curated record.
UGUAGCGUCAUGCAUCGCGUUUCUUUCCCGCUUUCUCUUUGUUGAUGUAUGAUGUACUAUAUAGUUUGUGAUAUAUAAGGUUUUAUUAUUAUAAGUUACUAUUUUUCUAAUAAAUGAUCUUUAUCUCGAAGGCACUAUUCAAUUUUUUUCACCAGAAUUGAGGAUAGAACCUAAAUUACCCCUAUUAUACGUCAGUAGGUGAGGAAACGUGGUUGGGAGAUGGUUGGAGUGGAAUAAAAAGUGAGAAUAAAAGAGAAAGGGGCUUCGAGGAUUGCAUCGAGCAGAAUGAAACUGCGAGCGACAGAUUGUGAGAACUGCCAAUACGUCAUUCGAAUGUCAAUAAGUCGAAGGAAGACGGUUUUAACCAUUUCAAUUGUUGACCAUAAAAUUAAUAUUAUUCAACUUACAAAAAAGGAUUGAAAUCGUCAAUAUAAAAUAUAAAAUUAUACAAUUGGAUAUUCAUAUAUUUAUCACAUGUCUAUUAUUGUAAAUGCAAAGAUUUUUCAAAUGGAAACGGAUAUUCAAAUUAAACUCUGAUUGCUUUUACUUUUUUUGAAAUAUGGUUGAAUAAUUUAGAAAAUAACAAUAAAUGAUAUUCAAUCAAAUAUCGGAAAGAAAACACUUAUGUUAAAAGCAUUGUGUUAAAAUCUAAAAUACGACAAAAUCUUGAGUAACCUGAAAAAGAUGUUUUAUCUUUCGCAACUUUCGAAGAAGAUCAAAAUGAACAGAAACAUGGUUCUCUACUAAAAUGAUUGAUGAUCAAAUGGGAGAAGAAAAGAAGCAGAUCAAUUUUAUAUCAUUUACGAAACAGUUUUGUGAAGUUCAAAAGAAAUUUCAGACAUUAAAAAAUUUAU